UACGUAGGUGGCAAGCGUUGUCCGGAAUUACUGGGUGUAAAGGGCGUGUAGGCGGGGAUGUAAGUCAGAUGUGAAAUUCCGGAGCUCAACUCCGGCGCUGCAUCUGAAACUAUAUCUCUUGAGUACUGGAGAGGAAAGUGGAAUUCCUAGUGUAGCGGUGAAAUGCGUAGAUAUUAGGAGGAACACCAGUGGCGAAGGCGGCUUUCUGGACAGUAACUGACGCUGAGGCGCGAAAGCGUGGGGAGCAAACAGG
This 253-nucleotide ribosomal RNA is filed under the name uncultured bacterium. Its description in RNAcentral is "partial 16S ribosomal RNA". It matches the Rfam family "Bacterial small subunit ribosomal RNA", at positions 524 to 776 of the family's 1533-position model. The record is from RNAcentral.